AGGGUGUAAACGCUGCAGACUUGGUGUUGGGAACCCUUCGGGGGUGCUCAGUGCCGGAGAGAAGUUGUUAAGUCUGCUACUUGGGGAGUACGUCCGCAAGGAUGAAACUUAAAGGAAUUGGCGGGGGAGCACCGCAACGGGAGGAGCGUGCGGUUUAAUUGGACUCAACGCCGAAAAACUCACCAGCAGCGACUGUUACAUGAAAGUCAGGUUGAUGACCUUACUAGAUUUUCAGAGAGGUGGUGCAUGGCGUCAGUGACU
This 261-nucleotide ribosomal RNA is filed under the name uncultured archaeon. Its description in RNAcentral is "partial 16S ribosomal RNA". It matches the Rfam family "Archaeal small subunit ribosomal RNA", at positions 748 to 1008 of the family's 1478-position model. The record is from RNAcentral.